This 481-nucleotide ribosomal RNA is filed under the name uncultured bacterium. RNAcentral's name for it is "bacterial SSU rRNA". It matches the Rfam family "Bacterial small subunit ribosomal RNA", at positions 423 to 896 of the family's 1533-position model. The record is from RNAcentral.
UUGUAAAGCACUUUUAGUGGGGAUGAAAAAUUCAGGGCUAAUAUCCCUGGGUCUUGACCUAACCCAAAGAAAAAGCACCGGCUAACUCUGUGCCAGCAGCCGCGGUAAUACAGAGGGUGCGAGCGUUAAUCGGAAUUACUGGGCGUAAAGCGUGCGUAGACGGUUAGAUAAGUCGGGUGUGAAAGCCCCGGGCUCAACCUGGGAAUUGCAUUCGAGACUGUUUAGCUAGGGUACGGAAGAGGGAAGCGGAAUUUCAGGUGUAGCGGUGAAAUGCGUAGAUAUCUGAAGGAACACCAGUGGCGAAAGCGGCUUCCUGGUCCAGUACCGACGUUCAGGCACGAAAGCGUGGGGAGCAAACAGGAUUAGAUACCCUGGUAGUCCACGCCAUAAACGAUGAGAACUAGACGUUGGGGGGGUAAGCCUCUCAGUGUCGCAGCUAACGCGCUAAGUUCUCCGCCUGGGGAGUACGGCCGCAAGGUUG